AUACGGAGGAUGCGAGCGUUAUCCGGAUUUAUUGGGUUUAAAGGGUGCGUAGGCUGUGCGUUAAGUCAGGGGUGAAAUGCCGUCGCUCAACGACGGAGCUGCCCUUGAUACUGGCGUGCUGGAGUACGGAUGCCGUUGGAGGAAUGCGUGGUGUAGCGGUGAAAUGCUUAGAUAUCACUCAGAACACCGAUUGCGAAGGCAUCUGACGAAUCCGUCACUGACGCUGAGGCACGAAAGCGUGGGGAUAGAACAGGAUUAGAUACCCUGGUAUUCCACGCCGUAAACGAUGAUGACUAACCGUCGGCGAUAGACAGCCGGUGGCCAAGCGAAAGCGAUAAGUCAUCCACCUGGGGAGUACGUCGGCAACGAUGAAACUCAAAGGAAUUGACGGGG
This 393-nucleotide ribosomal RNA is filed under the name uncultured bacterium. RNAcentral describes it as "partial 16S ribosomal RNA". It matches the Rfam family "Bacterial small subunit ribosomal RNA", at positions 523 to 918 of the family's 1533-position model. The record is from RNAcentral.